Long non-coding RNA from Corapipo altera (White-ruffed manakin), 151 nucleotides. RefSeq lists it as uncharacterized. The transcript is spliced from 3 exons. The record is from RefSeq and is a predicted model, not a curated record. NCBI's taxonomy places the organism in Eukaryota, Metazoa, Chordata, Aves, Passeriformes, Pipridae.
CCCUGGCCCAGGUUUCCCAGAGAAGCUGUGGCUGCUCCUGGAUCCCUGGAAGUUUCCAAGGCCACGUUGGACAGGGUGUGGAGCAACCUGGUCUAGUGGAAGGUGUCCCUGCCCAUGGCAGGGGGCUGGAACAAGGUGGUCUUGAAGGUCC